GACGAACGCUGGCGGCGUGCUUAACACAUGCGAGUCGAACGGAAAGGCCCUGCUUUUGUGGGGUGCUCGAGUGGCGAACGGGUGAGUAACACGUGAGUAACCUGCCCUUGACUUUGGGAUAACUUCAGGAAACUGGGGCUAAUACCGGAUAGGAGCUCCUGCUGCAUGGUGGGGGUUGGAAAGUUUCGGCGGUUGGGGAUGGACUCGCGGCUUAUCAGCUUGUUGGUGGGGUAGUGGCUUACCAAGGCUUUGACGGGUAGCCGGCCUGAGAGGGUGACCGGCAAAAGUGGGACGGAGAUAGGCCCGAGACCCCGAGGGGGGGGAGAGGGGGGAAAUUUGGCCAAAGGGGCGAAGGCGUGAGCCAGACCCCCCGGGUGGGGGAUGACGGCCUUGGGUUUGAAAACCGUUUUCGCCUGGAAGGAGGGGUGAGUGAGGUAAGUGGAUAAAAAAGCACCGGCUAACUAGGUC
RNAcentral lists this ribosomal RNA (468 nucleotides) under uncultured bacterium. RNAcentral's name for it is "partial 16S ribosomal RNA". It matches the Rfam family "Bacterial small subunit ribosomal RNA", at positions 28 to 507 of the family's 1533-position model. The record is from RNAcentral.